Leopardus geoffroyi (Geoffroy's cat) is the source of this 1790-nucleotide long non-coding RNA. RefSeq lists it as uncharacterized. Lineage: Eukaryota; Metazoa; Chordata; Mammalia; Carnivora; Felidae. The transcript is spliced from 2 exons. The record is from RefSeq and is a predicted model, not a curated record.
ACAUUAAAAAAAUAAAAGUUCACCUCUCUUCAGUUACAAAAAAAAAAAAAUCUUCAAUGUAUAACUUAAAAAUUGAAAACGUUUCUCUAAGUUGCCCACUUAGUGAUGAUGAAAUCCGGGUCUGGGAUUACCCGCACCAGCAAAUGGUCUUGGCUAUAGCACGACCCAGUCACCCUGCCCUUCAACGUAGGGUUGUAUUAAUCGUGUUUGUUACUUUCUGUAUAUUAUGAUUUGACAUCUUAAAACCCUGACCCACUGGCGAGAGACUGCCCCCUCCCUACCCAAUUCUGAAAGACAGCAAAGGACUCAGACGGGAGCAUGCCUGCCGUGCGCAAGCUAACCACCCAGAGCUAGACCUCCGCUAGGUGGCCUGCACAGCCCAGAUGGAAUCAUUCCAGGCCCAGGUGCCAGAAACACCAUAGAGGCUCUGGCCUUGCCCUGCGCGUUAGCUCCCUGAUGAGAACUUGGCCUUCCUCUGCGGCCCCGCGAGGCGAGCCCUGCCUCUCGUUUCCAGGGGGAGACCGCGAGCGAUGGUCAACAUUUCCAUCGAUGGCAUUGGCCCCUUUGCGUCCUCAGUCACCUCUACAAAUCAAGCCCCGGGCACAGAGUAUGGCUCCAACCCGUCUUUUGAGUCCACGCCUGUCACUGUCUGAGUUCUAACCUCCAAAGUUUCUCGAGACCAAGAGGGGGCCCCCCACUUUGCCUGAUGGUCGAUGGACACCAUACCUAUUAGUCCAUGUGCUUUAGGUGAAAACUUGUUUGUGGGGGGAAUGUAGAUCCCCAGAAAGUCUACGUUGAUCGGAUGCUUCUUCCAAACCCGAUGGAGUAAAACAGAGAAGGACAUGUCUUUAUUCAGGGUGAUGGUCACAGUUUGCUCUUUCUUCACAGAGACAAGCACCCUGGUGUGAAAGCCAAAAUGGAGUCAACAUUUCUAAAACAACCGUUCAGGACGCCAUUCCUCCCACCCCGGACACGAGCUGGCCACCCCUCCCUGGACAAUCUCACUAGUGGUCUAAGUCCUUCACAACGUUUUUGCCACAGAAUGUUGUUUUCACUCCCGGCUCUGGCAUUCUGUCAAUUUAUAUGUUUGUAUAAAAACAAUUAGCAGGGGGAUGCCUGGGAGGCUCAGUUGGUUGAGCAUCCGACUCUUGAUUUUGGCUCAGGUCAUGAUCCCAGUGGGGUGAGAUCAAGCCCUGCGUUGGACUCCCCACUGAGCGUGGAGCCUGCUUAAGAUUCUCUCUCUCUCUCUCUCUCUCUGCCCUCCUCCUGCUCAUGCUCUCUCUAAAAUUAAAAUUAAAACAAUUAACAGAUAAUAAUGGGAAAAUAUUACUCCUAAGAUACAAUCAUUGUGUUUCUGAGCACAGUCUGACACGGAGUCGGCCGUGAAGUUUUGAUGGAUUCAUUCACUUUUCUGACACGUAUUUACUGCGUACCUACUACAUGCCUGGCCGUAGGCUGGCACUGAGACACGCAGUGACCAAAAGAUGUGGACCCUGUUGCCAGGAACGGGGGAGUAGGUAACAAAAGCCUUUCUGAAGCGCUCGUCUUCAUAUUUAAAAUGACAAUGUUAAGUUCUAGUUUAUAUCACGGAUCUCUGGAUUUAUGUACGUAGUCGUGUGGAGGGCGGGCCUGAAUCCAGACGUGAUAACACUUGCCUCUGAUUAAUGAUGCGAGCAGUGUCAGACCAGGACAGGAUGGACGUAUGGGAGCCCCGGCUCAGGGUGAUGGUCUCGGUGCUGAUUUCUAUUUUCAUGUCUUCACUUUGGAAGUAAAACCCCAGUUUUCCGAAA